UAACUCCGCUCCUAACCAAUCAGUUUGUGCCAGUUUUUUUUAAAAAAAGUACUGUACCUUGGGUGACAAUAUUCGAUAGGCUAGCAGGGUCUCCUCCCGUUUGGAGCCACUGGCACUUUUCCCUGCUGUAAAGUAAUCACUAGCUCGAGUUGCUUUGCGGGGUGGGGAAUGGCUUUCCUUUCUGAAAUUAGAAAGGAAUCUGGAAAGGGAAGAACUGAAGGACUAGAGGUAUAAAUUGAAGACAGUAGUUUCUCUGGUUAUCAACCAGAUGAAAACUGGCAGCAAGUUGUAAUCCUAACAGAUUGGAACACACACAGUUGAAGGGACAUAUAGUGUUGUGUGUUCAAACCAAAAAGAUGUCUCCCAGCCAUCUCCAAGAGAAGUACUGAAAAAGUCUAAUAUUUUAGAAGAUUCCAGGCUUGGUGUGUUCAGGAGCUGUGGGAGAAAAUGAGAUUAUGCUUGAGCUGUUUUGAAGAAAGAUCCUAUAUUUUUGUUUUAAAAAGUAUUACAUUGAUUUUCCAUCACAAAUUAAUAUUAAAUAUGGGGAAGUAAGCAGCA
Non-coding RNA from Pantherophis guttatus, 558 nucleotides. Lineage: Eukaryota; Metazoa; Chordata; Lepidosauria; Squamata; Colubridae. The record is from RefSeq and is a predicted model, not a curated record.